This 744-nucleotide ribosomal RNA is filed under the name uncultured bacterium. Its description in RNAcentral is "bacterial SSU rRNA". It matches the Rfam family "Bacterial small subunit ribosomal RNA", at positions 58 to 842 of the family's 1533-position model. The record is from RNAcentral.
CAAGUCGAACGAGUGCAGCAAUGCACGAGUGGCGGACGGGUGAGGAACACGUGGAUCAUCGACCCAUCGCUGGGGAAUACCCCUGGGAAACCAGGGCUAAUACCGCAUACGCUCCGUGGAGGAAAGCCGUAAGGCGGCGAUGGACGAGUCUGCGCCCGAUUAGGUAGUUGGCGGGGUAACGGCCCACCAAGCCUGCGAUCGGUAGCUGGUCUGAGAGGAUGAUCAGCCACAUUGGGAUUGAGAACGGCCCAAAUCCCUACGGGGAGCAGCAGUGAGGAAUAUUCGGCAAUGGGCGCAAGCCUGACCGAGCGACGCCGCGUGGGGGACGACGCUUUUCGGAGUGUAAACCCCUUUUCCCGAGGACGAGACAGGACGGUACUCGGGGAAGAAGUCUCGGCUAACUACGUGCCAGCAGCCGCGGUAAUACGUAGGAGGCAAGCGUUGUCCGGAGUUACUGGGCGUAAAGCGUGUGUAGGCGGUUGGCUGCGUCCGGUGUGAAAUCUCCCGGCUUACCUGGGAGGGGGCAUCGGAUACGAGCGGACUUGAGGGCAUCAGAGGCCAGUAGAACUCCCGGUGGACCAGUGAAAUGGGUAGAGAUCGGGAAGAAUACCAGUGGUGCAGACGGCUGGCUGGGGUGUACCUGACGCUGAGACACGAAAGCAUGGGGAGCAAACAGGAUUAGAUACCCUGGUAUUCCAUGCUGUAAACGAUGUCCACUAGGUGUGCGGGGUAUCGACCCCCUGC